RNAcentral lists this ribosomal RNA (253 nucleotides) under uncultured bacterium. RNAcentral's name for it is "partial 16S ribosomal RNA". It matches the Rfam family "Bacterial small subunit ribosomal RNA", at positions 524 to 776 of the family's 1533-position model. The record is from RNAcentral.
GACGUAGGAUGCAAGCGUUGUCCGGAUUUAUUGGGCGUAAAGAGUUCGUAGGCGGUUCGGUAAGUCUGAUGUUAAAGCUCGGGGCCCAACCCUGAGAGUGCAUUGGAUACUGGCGAACUGGAGUGCAGUAGAGGCGAGUGGAAUUCCCAGUGUAGCGGUGAAAUGCGUAGAUAUUGGGAAGAACACCGGUGGCGAAGGCGGGUCUCUGGGCAUCUCCUGACGCUGAGGCGCGAAAGCGUGGGGAGCAAACGGG